GACGUAGGUGGCGAACGUUAUCCGGAAUUAUUGGGCGUAAAGGGUGCGUAGGCGGCAUGAUAAGUUAUUGGCGGCAAAUCGAGGCUCAACCUCGUGGAAACUGAUAAUACUGUUUUGCUUGAGUACAGAAGAGGUUAACGGAACUCCAUGUGGAGCGGUAAAAUGUGUAGAUAUAUGGAAGAACAUCAAUAACGGCGAAGGCAGUUAACUAUUCUGUUACUGACGUUGAGGCACGAAAGCGUGGGGAGCAAAAAGG
This 256-nucleotide ribosomal RNA is filed under the name uncultured bacterium. RNAcentral describes it as "partial 16S ribosomal RNA". It matches the Rfam family "Bacterial small subunit ribosomal RNA", at positions 524 to 776 of the family's 1533-position model. The record is from RNAcentral.